This 289-nucleotide unclassified non-coding RNA is filed under the name Hevea brasiliensis (rubber tree). Lineage: Eukaryota; Viridiplantae; Streptophyta; Magnoliopsida; Malpighiales; Euphorbiaceae. The record is from RNAcentral.
AUUGCUUGUAGAAAAUACUACAAUUGAACAGCUUGGUUUGGCCCGAAAAGUGACCAUCUCUAAGGACACUACUACCAUCAUUGCUGACGCUGCAUCAAAAGACGAGCUACAAGCAAGGAUUGCACAGCUAAAGAAAGAAUUGGCUGAGACGGAUUCUGUUUACGACACAGAGAAACUGGCAGAAAGAAUUGCAAAAUUAUCUGGUGGUGUUGCUGUCAUUAAGGUAGGAGCUGCGACAGAGACUGAACUUGAGGACAGGAAGCUCCGUAUUGAAGAUGCAAAGAAUGCA